This is a long non-coding RNA of Piliocolobus tephrosceles (Ugandan red Colobus), 773 nucleotides long. RefSeq lists it as uncharacterized. The record is from RefSeq and is a predicted model, not a curated record. The transcript is spliced from 2 exons. NCBI's taxonomy places the organism in Eukaryota, Metazoa, Chordata, Mammalia, Primates, Cercopithecidae.
UCCUAGUGUUAAUUUAUAAAAAAAAAAAUAAAGCAUACACGAAUUGUGCUUAUUCUUUCUUAUUUUUAUAUUUUUUUUUUUUUAACUAUUUUAUUUGCAUGACAAUAUGGAAUUAUGUGAUGACACUUUUAUUUUACGGUGGAAUAAUUUCACAGUAAAAAGUCAAAGAUAUAAAGAUUAUGGUACAAAUGUUAUGGAAACAAUAAAAGGGAAAUAUAAAACUAGUGAAGAAUUUUCAAUUUUUAAAAUUAAAACUGCUUUUUUUGUUUGUUUUAUUUUAUUUAUUAUCACAAACUGGACAUAACCAUAGGAAUGAUUUUAAAGGAAUUAUAAAAAAAAAAAAAAAAGUAUAUAACAUAUGCAAGACAAUUAACAGAAUACCAUAUAGAUGAAAGAAGAAAUAACAUAAAUGGCUUAUAUGGCGGUUUGAAUGGCAUAUUGGGAGAAUCUAGUAUGGCGAUUAAAGACAGGAAACAUAAAAAAGUAUUUAAUACUUAUAGUUCUACCACAAAUGCUAAUACGGAUAGACGUAUACCUGGCACUAUUAGAAUUUCUAAAAGCACAACUGAUAAGAAUGAAUCAACUGAUAAGAAUGAAUGUGCAUUCGGUGGUUCUAAAAAGACAGAACAAUAUGUAAAAGAAUCCUAUCAUCAGAAAUUUGAACAAAAUGAAAGAAAUACUGGGUAUAUAGAGGAAAAGAAAAUGGAUAAUUAUGAAAAUAUUUUUAAAAAAUUUGAACAAAUCAUAAAAAAAAAAAAUAAAAACAAAACAAA